This 506-nucleotide ribosomal RNA is filed under the name uncultured bacterium. RNAcentral describes it as "partial 16S ribosomal RNA". It matches the Rfam family "Bacterial small subunit ribosomal RNA", at positions 29 to 523 of the family's 1533-position model. The record is from RNAcentral.
AUUGAACGCUGGCGGCAGGCCUAACACAUGCAAGUCGAACGGCAGCACAGAAGAGCUUGCUCUUUGGGUGGCGAGUGGCGGACGGGUGAGUAAUGUCUGGGAAACUGCCCGAUGGAGGGGGAUAGCUACUGGAAACGGUAGCUAAUACCGCAUAACGUCGCGAGACCAAAGUGGGGGACCUUCGGGCCUCACACCAUCGGAUGUGCCCAGAUGGGAUUAGCUAGUAGGUGGGGUAAUGGCUCACCUAGGCGACGAUCCCUAGCUGGUCUGAGAGGAUGACCAGCCACACUGGAACUGAGACACGGUCCAGACUCCUACGGGAGGCAGCAGUGGGGAAUAUUGCACAAUGGGCGCAAGCCUGAUGCAGCCAUGCCGCGUGUAUGAAGAAGGCCUUCGGGUUGUAAAGUACUCUCAGCGGGGAGGAAGGCGGUGAGGUUAAUAACCUCGCCGAUUGACGUUACCCGCAGAAGAAGCACCGGCUAACUCCGUGCCAGCCGCCGCGGUAA